CUUGUGGUGCUGGGGACUCACGGGAGACCGCCGGGGUCAACUCGGAGGAAGGUGGGGACGACGUCAAGUCAUCAUGCCCCUUAUGUCUUGGGCUGCACACGUGCUACAAUGGCCGGUACAAUGAGCUGCGAUACCGCGAGGUGGAGCGAAUCUCAAAAAGCCGGUCUCAGUUCGGAUUGGGGUCUGCAACUCGACCCCAUGAAGUCGGAGUCGCUAGUAAUCGCAGAUCAGCAUUGCUGCGGUGAAUACGUUCCCGGGCCUUGUACACAC
RNAcentral lists this ribosomal RNA (270 nucleotides) under Streptomyces gougerotii. Its description in RNAcentral is "partial 16S ribosomal RNA". It matches the Rfam family "Bacterial small subunit ribosomal RNA", at positions 1122 to 1390 of the family's 1533-position model. Lineage: Bacteria; Bacillati; Actinomycetota; Actinomycetes; Kitasatosporales; Streptomycetaceae. The record is from RNAcentral.